Molecule: long non-coding RNA, 2856 nt
Filed under: Malus domestica (apple)
Lineage: Eukaryota; Viridiplantae; Streptophyta; Magnoliopsida; Rosales; Rosaceae
Description: long non-coding RNA (MDOM_LNC011012)
Source: RNAcentral
ACCGACAGAAAAAAUCAGAGCAUUGAGCAAUGGAAUUCCCAAAUCAAAGAACCACCAUCACCGUCAUCAUGAUCAGAGGGACGAUGAAGAAAGACAGAGUUACCCGCCACCGGGAACUACGCUGUCUCCCUUUGAUCAACCUCCACCUCCUCCAAGACCUUACCACUAUGGAGAGGAUCAACCUCCACCUCCUCCAAAACCUUACUACUAUCGAGACGAUCAACCUCCACCUCCUCCAAGGCCUUACUACUAUGGAGAGGAUCAACAUCCACCACCACCACCACCUUCCUGCUACAGAGAAGAUCAACCACCACCGAAUUCAUACUACGAAGCAGAUAGACCACCACCGAUCCGUGUGAGCCAUGUGUCCCACUCUUCCCAUGGUUAUGCACCUCCAAGUCCACCCUCCCAAUCCCAAGGGCUUCUCCACCACCAACCACCAGCGCCACCAGUACAGAAUUACGACUACCCAUCGUCACAAGCUACUCCAAGCCCACGGCCUGUUACCGUGCACCAUGUUGCUCAUCAAGUUCACCAUGAAUCCCCUGCUCCUCAGUUUGGAACUGAAACCCAUCACACCUCUCACUUGCCCUCUUCCUCUCCCCACAACUCUUACCUCUCGAACAAGCCCACUUUCAGAAUCUUCUCAAAGGCCGACCCCAAUUUAUCUCUCAGCAUCAGAGAGGGCAAGGUCAUUCUUGCCCGAUACCAACCAACCGAUGACUUCCAGGUCACUAGUCUCUUUCUCUCCGUCCCUCCAUUUGAUUUAUUAUUUCUCCUUGUGUGUGAAUGUUAUUGGAUUUGCUAAUUUCUGGAUUGGAUUGAUUGCAGCGGUGGUAUAAAGACGAGAAGUACAGCACACAAGUGAAGGACGAAGAGCGCUUCCCUUCCUUUGCUCUCAUCAACAAAGCCACUGGCCACGCCCUCAAGCAUUCCAUCGGAGCCACUCAGCCUGUAUGAUUCUUGUUUCCAAAACUUUAUAAUUUGCUGAAUGUUGUUGAAACUUGUCAAGAUUCGCCUUUUUUUAUGGUUCCAUGUAUUUUGUUUGCCAUUGCUAGUAGUAAUAUUGAAGGUCUAGCGGUUGUUUAAUAUGUCACCAUCAAUACCGCACUUGGACACUGUGUGGAAGGAAAUCUUCAGAAUUUCAAAGCCUUUCUCUUUUAAGUUUUUGUUUUUCCUGCCCAACAUUUUUGUCUUUAAUUGGUGUAUGCUUUGCUCUGUGUUUUAGACUUGUAAAAGUACCAAUUUCUAUGCCAAAAAAAAAGAAAUUUAUAAGUGGAAGAAAAAGUUUCUUCACAGUGCCUCCAGUCUUGUGCACAUGCAAAUUAUAUUUCUUGGAUUCUAAAAUCUUUCAUUGCUUGGUGUGGAGCCUAGAGAUGAUAUGAAUUUUAAACCAUCACUACUAAGUCUGUCUUGUUUCAUGUUGCAGGUGCAGCUGAGACCUUAUAAUCCAGAUGUUCUUGAUGAGUCUAUGCUGUGGACUGAGAGUGCGGACUUAGGUGACGGUUUCAGAACUGUUAGGAUGGUUAAUAACAUUCACCUUAAUGUGGAUGCUUUUCAUGGUGACAAGAAAUCUGGGGGUGUUCAUGAUGGCACUACCAUAGUCCUGUGGAAUAAAAAUAAAGGAGAUAACCAGAGAUGGAAGAUUGUACCUCACUGUAAGUUUUCUACAUAUAACUCGAAAAACCAAGCAAUUUCCUUGCAAAUUUUUCAUUAUGCUUACUUGCAUCUUUGGAUUGCUUAACGGUUUUCCCAAGCAAUGUUAUCUCUCAUUAAGUCAUAAGAUUCCUAGUAACUAAUUUCAUUCCCUUUUAAUGAUGCUAAAUGCAGGAUCCUUUUGCAGUAAUGCUGCCAUGAGUUAUUACAACAUCGCAUGCUUAAAAAGGUAUUAAGUUUGGAAGACUCCUCCUAGUUCUCAUGGUGAGGGAUUUGAGUUUGAUGUUUAUGAUGUUUGAAACUAUUGAUGUAUGAUUAAGUGUCAACUACUACAACUGUGGCUCAUACAUAUAAUGUGUUAGCGAAAGCAAAGAGUUGAUUAUGUAUUAUAAUCUAUCGAAAUAAUUAUCUACUGUUUUUGAACAACUUGUUGCAAUGCCUAAAUUUGUUCGCUGUCAUUAUUACUUGUUUCUUUACUUAGGAUGCUUUUAGUUACACCUCGAGGUACCAAUCAUAAAGGCAUAGGUUGAUGUAGCGUGUAAAAGAUAAGUAUUGAAUUCUUGAGGUGCGAUUGCACUUGAUUAUGGAUCAAGUGCAUGUGCUUGGGUUGCCUAAAUCUCUCCUAAACCAAUGGUUCCCAAGGUUCGGUUGAACCACCACAACCAAGGUCUUGUGACUGAAAGAGUUUCCGAGGAACUCAUGCAGACAGAUCAGUGAAGAUACAUGACUCGAGAUGUUAUUGAAAUUUGAUGCUUACCCAUUUAGGUUAGUAAAUUUUUAUAUUUAUGGUUUUAGACUCUGUUUCUUUGGAGGAUUUUAGAGAAGAAAGGAGUACGAAUAGCAUAUAUCCAAGCUAUACAGGAUAUGUAUGAAGGAGCAAAGACUGCCGUAAGAACUCAUGAAGGACAAACCGAAAGCUUUCCCAUAACUGUAGGAUUACAUCAAGGCUCAUCCUUAAGUCCUUACCUUUUUGCGUUGGUAAUGGAUGAGUUAACAGGACAUAUUCAAGAUGAUAUUUCUUGGUGUAUGCUUUUCGCAGACGAUAUAGUGUUGAUAGAUGAAACUCAGGAAGGGGUAAAUGCAAAGCUUAACCUUUGGAGAGAAGUGUUGGAAUCUAAAGGUCUUCGUCUAAGCCGAUCAAAGACAGAAUAUAUGGAGUGCAAGUUCAGUGCAAAUGGAGGCCAAAACGAGUUAGGGGUG